Molecule: long non-coding RNA, 232 nt
Organism: Coregonus clupeaformis (lake whitefish)
Lineage: Eukaryota; Metazoa; Chordata; Actinopteri; Salmoniformes; Salmonidae
Exons: 3
Source: RefSeq, a predicted model, not a curated record
AACGGAUUUUACAGCAACUGUUCUUCCGUUGUGAUGUCGGGUCCUGGGUCUCGAAGGAACGGGUCCAGCAUCAAAAUCCGGCUGACAGUAUUAUGUGCCAAGAACCUUGCAAAGAAAGAGUUCUUCCGGCUGCCGGACCCAUUUGCUAAGGUAGUGGUGGAUGGAUCAGGACAGUGUCAUUCUACAGACACAGUGAAGAGUACUCUAGACCCCAAAUGGAACCAACACUAUG